AGCGAACGCUGGCGGCGUGCCUAACACAUACAAGUCGAACGUGAAAAGGGAAACCUGAGUACAGUGGCGUACGGGUGAGUAACGCGUAGGUAAUCUACCCCAGAAUCUGGAAUAACCUGCCGAAAGGCGGGCUAAUACUGGAUAGAGCGAGGGAACUCGUAAGAGAGUUUUUCGGGAAAGGGAGCCCGCAAGGGCCUUCGUUCUGGGAUGAGCCUGCGUCUCAUUAGCUAGUUGGUAAGGUAACGGCUUACCAAGGCGAUGAUGAGUAGCUGGUCUGAGAGGAUGAUCAGCCACACUGGAACUGAAACACGGUCCAGACUCCUACGGGAGGCAGCAGUGGGGAAUCUUGCGCAGUGGACGAAAGUCUGACGCAGCCACGCCGCGUGAGUGAAGAAGGCCUUCGGGUUGUAAAGCUCUGUCGGAUGGGACGAACAUCUUCAUAGUGAAUAGCUAUGAGGACUGACGGUACCAUCAAAGGAAGCACCGGCUAACUCCGUG
Molecule: ribosomal RNA, 498 nt
Filed under: uncultured bacterium
Lineage: Bacteria
Description: partial 16S ribosomal RNA
Rfam family: Bacterial small subunit ribosomal RNA
Source: RNAcentral